UACCUACGGGAGGCAGCAGUGGGGGAUAUUGGACAAUGGGGGGAACCCUGAUCCAGCGACGCCGCGUGAGUGCCGCCGUCUUUCGGUCUGUCCCGCUCUGUCCGCCGGGCCGACCGCAAUGACGGUACCUGACCAAGAAGCCCCGGCUAACUACGUGCCAGCAGCCGCGGUAAUACGUAGGGGGCAAGCGUUAUCCGGAAUUACUGGGUGUAAAGGGCGCGUAGACGUCUGUGCAA
This 236-nucleotide ribosomal RNA is filed under the name uncultured bacterium. RNAcentral's name for it is "partial 16S ribosomal RNA". It matches the Rfam family "Bacterial small subunit ribosomal RNA", at positions 335 to 586 of the family's 1533-position model. The record is from RNAcentral.